RNAcentral lists this ribosomal RNA (374 nucleotides) under uncultured bacterium. RNAcentral describes it as "bacterial SSU rRNA". It matches the Rfam family "Bacterial small subunit ribosomal RNA", at positions 527 to 898 of the family's 1533-position model. The record is from RNAcentral.
GUAGGGGACGAGCGUUGUCCGGAUUCAUUGGGCGUAAAGCGCGCGUAGGCGGCUCGGAAAGUCGGUCGUGAAAGGCCGGGGCUCAACCCCGGGACUGCGUCCGAUACUUCCGAGCUGGAGGCAGGUAGGGGAGAUCGGAAUUCCUGGUGUAGCGGUGAAAUGCGCAGAUAUCAGGAGGAACACCGGUGGCGAAGGCGGAUCUCUGGGCCUUGCCUGACGCUGAGGCGCGAAAGCUAGGGGAGCGAACAGGAUUAGAUACCCUGGUAGUCCUAGCCGUAAACGUUGGGUGCUAGGUGUGGGCGGACAUCGACCCCGUCCGUGCCGAAGCUAACGCAUUAAGCACCCCGCCUGGGGAGUACGGCCGCAAGGCUAAA